Molecule: ribosomal RNA, 818 nt
Filed under: uncultured Streptococcaceae bacterium
Lineage: Bacteria; Bacillati; Bacillota; Bacilli; Lactobacillales; Streptococcaceae
Description: SSU rRNA
Rfam family: Bacterial small subunit ribosomal RNA
Source: RNAcentral
GAAGAGAGGAGCUUGCUCUUCUUGGAUGAGUUGCGAACGGGUGAGUAACGCGUAGGUAACCUGCCUUGUAGCGGGGGAUAACUAUUGGAAACGAUAGCUAAUACCGCAUAAUAAUGAAUGACUCAUGUCAUUUAUUUGAAAGGGGCAAUUGCUCCACUACAAGAUGGACCUGCGUUGUAUUAGCUAGUAGGUGAGGUAACGGCUCACCUAGGCGACGAUACAUAGCCGACCUGAGAGGGUGAUCGGCCACACUGGGACUGAGACACGGCCCAGACUCCUACGGGAGGCAGCAGUAGGGAAUCUUCGGCAAUGGGGGCAACCCUGACCGAGCAACGCCGCGUGAGUGAAGAAGGUUUUCGGAUCGUAAAGCUCUGUUGUAAGUCAAGAACGAGUGUGAGAGUGGAAAAUUCACACUGUGACGGUAGCUUACCAGAAAGGGACGGCUAACUACGUGCCAGCAGCCGCGGUAAUACGUAGGUCCCGAGCGUUGUCAGGAUUUAUUGGGCGUAAAGCGAGCGCAGGCGGUUUGAUAAGUCUGAAGUUAAAGGCUGUGGCUCAACCAUAGUUCGCUUUGGAAACUGUCAAACUUGAGUGCAGAAGGGGAGAGUGGAAUUCCAUGUGUAGCGGUGAAAUGCGUAGAUAUAUGGAGGAACACCGGUGGCGAAAGCGGCUCUCUGGUCUGUAACUGACGCUGAGGCUCGAAAGCGUGGGGAGCGAACAGGAUUAGAUACCCUGGUAGUCCACGCCGUAAACGAUGAGUGCUAGGUGUUGGAUCCUUUCCGGGAUUCAGUGCCGCAGCUAACGCAUUAAGCACUCCG